CCUACGGGUGGCAGCAGUGAGGAAUAUUGGUCAAUGGACGAGAGUCUGAACCAGCCAAGUAGCGUGAAGGAUGACUGCCCUAUGGGUUGUAAACUUCUUUUAUAUGGGAAUAAAAUGCUCCACGUGUGGGAUUUUGUAUGUACCUUAUGAAUAAGGAUCGGCUAACUCCGUGCCAGCAGCCGCGGUAAUACGGAGGAUCCGAGCGUUAUCCGGAUUUAUUGGGUUUAAAGGGAGCGUAGGUGGAUUGUUAAGUCAGUUGUGAAAGUUUGCGGCUCAACCGUAAAAUUGCAGUUGAAACUGGCAGUCUGGAGUACAGUAGAGGUGGGCGGAAUUCGUGGUGUAGCGGUGAAAUGCUUAGAUAUCACGAAGAACUCCGAUUGCGAAGGCAGCUCACUGGACUGCAACUGACACUGAGGCUCGAAAGUGUGGGUAUCAAACAGGAUUAGAUACCCCAGUAGUC
This 460-nucleotide ribosomal RNA is filed under the name uncultured bacterium. RNAcentral's name for it is "partial 16S ribosomal RNA". It matches the Rfam family "Bacterial small subunit ribosomal RNA", at positions 338 to 795 of the family's 1533-position model. The record is from RNAcentral.